AGAAGGCAGAGCUUGAAAUAAUCAAGAAAUAGCAAUGUGACUGCCACUGUGCUGGGCUCUUCGCAUUCUUUAUUUUAUAGAAUUAUCACAACAACCCAACAAGGCCAUUUACAGAUGAGAAAACUGGCUUAGGAAGGAUGAGUAAGAGGCAGCUUUUCCAGCCUGGGUCUGCCUAACUCUGAAGUCCUCAAUCCUCACAGCUCAUUGCCUCCCCAGCUGGUGUUAUGAGAGGUGAGAUCACCAAGAGAUCACCAGAGACUAUCGGAGUUGGGGAAGACAGAUGGAGACUGAAUGGGAAAAGAGACCAAGAGGGAUUAUGGGAGUAUCUUUCCCUCCCCAGCUUCUCAUAGUCAUGGAUGCCGUCUGCAAACUUCCUGCAGCCAUAAGGGAAUAAAUUCUGCCAACAACCUGAGGAAGUUUGGAAUCAGAUCCUGCACUUCCCCCCACCAUCAUCCACCACCCCCAAGCUUCUGAUGAGGCCACAGCUUCAUCCAAGACCCUGAGGGUUAAAACUCGUGCUUGCUAUAGUGAUUACAACUUAAGCAAUAUUCCACUUGAAGCCGUAAAACACAAGCACACUAUGAAACGUUAAGUAUGUGCUAAUAUUAUGAAAUGAAAACAGAUAUAGUGGAAUGAAAUGGAAUGACACGGAAUGGAAGAAACAACUGUUUGGAAAAUGUGCAUAUAUGAGAAUUGGCUUAGUGUUUUGGCACCAGAGAAAGCAAAGGCUCAGAUAGGGCAGGAUGGGAAGCUGGAGAUUCCUCUUAUUCCGUGGGCAAAAUAUUUGGUAAGACUGUCCUCUCUGUGAACUUGCAUAUUAACCCAAUAUCUACCAGACCUUUAGCUCUUGGGGCAGGAGUCAGCAAACUGUGACUCAUGGCCAGUUUAGCCUGUUGUCUGUUUUUGUAAAUAAAGUUUUACUGGAACACAGCCAUGCCCAUUCAUUCACAUAUUGUCUAUGGCUGCUUAUGUACAAGAGAAGCAUUGAGUCAUUGCAAGAGAAACUAUAUGGCCCUCAAAGCCUAAAAUAUUUACUAUGUAGCCCUUUAAGAAGUUUGUCAACCCCUGAUAUAGGCAGUAGUGGGAUCUAGGCGAUGAUGGAGCUAAGAAAUGAAAGGAGCCACCCAGUA
Molecule: long non-coding RNA, 1130 nt
Filed under: Papio anubis (olive baboon)
Lineage: Eukaryota; Metazoa; Chordata; Mammalia; Primates; Cercopithecidae
Description: lncRNA (ENSPANG00000050771.1)
Source: RNAcentral